CGCACAUUGCGCCCUUUGGUAUUCCGAAGGGCAUGCCUGUUCGAGCGUCAUUACACCAAUCAAGCCUGGCUUGGUAUUGGGCCCCGGGGCGACCCGGACCUCAAUUUGACCGGCUGGAACGAUUGAAUCUCAGCGUUGUGACAUCAAUUCGCUGGCGAGACAAGCGUCCUGCGCCGUUAAACUCUUAUCAAGGUUGACCUCGGAUCAGGUAGGGAUACCCGCUGAACUUAA
Molecule: unclassified non-coding RNA, 231 nt
Filed under: fungal sp.
Lineage: Eukaryota; Fungi
Description: partial contains 5.8S ribosomal RNA, internal transcribed spacer 2, and large subunit ribosomal RNA
Source: RNAcentral